AACCUAGCACACCUGCGGUGUGUACCUGCGGAAGGAUCAUUACUGAGUGAGGGCCUUCGGGCUCGACCUCCAACCCUUUGUGAACACAACUUGUUGCUUCGGGGGCGACCCUGCCGUUUCGACGGCGAGCGCCCCCGGAGGCCUUCAAACACUGCAUCUUUGCGUCGGAGUUUAAGUAAAUUAAACAAAACUUUUAGCAACGGAUCU
This 207-nucleotide unclassified non-coding RNA is filed under the name soil metagenome. Its description in RNAcentral is "partial contains 5.8S ribosomal RNA, internal transcribed spacer 2, and large subunit ribosomal RNA". The record is from RNAcentral.